UAGAGUGAAAAAUAUAUAAGGCAAGGUAGCUCGUUGUCACCACUCUACAUCAUAACGAUGGAUUCCUUAAGUAGACAAUUAGAUCAAGAGAAGAUAGUUGAAAACUUACAGGGAAUUUCAAGGGGAAUCCAACUGUUUAAUUAAAACUAGUAUGAACAAGGAGAAUCUGACUUAAUUAAAACAAAGCAUUGCGAUGGUCCUUGCGGAUGAUGACGCAAUGUGAUUUAUACUCAUUUCUAUGCAUGUCAAAGUGAAUAAAUUCAACCAAGCUUGAGUAAAUGACGAGAGUAACUAUGACUCUCUUAAGGUAUCCAGAUGCCUUGUCAUCUAAUUAGUGAUGCAUAUGAAUGGAUUAAUGAGAUUCCCAUUAUCCCUAGCUAUUGUCUAGAUAAAACACAUCCAAGGGAAUGGCCUUGG
This is a non-coding RNA of Picea glauca (white spruce), 417 nucleotides long. NCBI's taxonomy places the organism in Eukaryota, Viridiplantae, Streptophyta, Pinopsida, Pinales, Pinaceae. The record is from Rfam.